CCUACGGGGGUCAGCAGUGAGGAAUAUUGGUCAAUGGACGAGAGUCUGAACCAGCCAAGUAGCGUGAAGGAUGACUGCCCUAUGGGUUGUAAACUUCUUUUAUAAAGGAAUAAAACGAGGCACGUGUGCCUGUUUGCAUGUACUUUAUGAAUAAGGAUCGGCUAACUCCGUGCCAGCAGCCGCGGUAAUACGGAGGAUCCGAGCGUUAUCCGGAGUGAUUGGGUUUAAAGGGAGCGUAGAUGGGUUGUUAAGUCAGUUGUGAAAGUUUGCGGCUCAACCGUAAAAUUGCAAUUGAGAAUGGCAGUCUUGAGUACAGUUGAGGUAGGCGGAAUUCGUGGUGUAGCGGUGAAAUGCUUAGAUAUCACGAAGAACCCCGAUUGCGAAGGCAGCUUACUAAACUGUGACUGACAUUGAUGCUCGAAAGUGUGGGUAUCAAACAGGAUUAGAUACCCGAGUAGUC
Molecule: ribosomal RNA, 460 nt
Filed under: uncultured bacterium
Lineage: Bacteria
Description: partial 16S ribosomal RNA
Rfam family: Bacterial small subunit ribosomal RNA
Source: RNAcentral